RNAcentral lists this ribosomal RNA (492 nucleotides) under uncultured bacterium. RNAcentral describes it as "partial 16S ribosomal RNA". It matches the Rfam family "Bacterial small subunit ribosomal RNA", at positions 29 to 507 of the family's 1533-position model. The record is from RNAcentral.
AGUGAACGCUGGCGGUAGGCCUAACACAUGCAAGUCGAACGGAAGCACAGUAAGAGCUUGCUCUUACGGGUGGCGGGUGGCGGACGGGUGAGGAAUACAUCGGAAUCUACUUUUUCUUGGGGGAUAACGUAGGGAAACUUACGCUAAUACCGCAUACGACCUACGGGUGAAAGCAGGGGAUCUUCGGACCUUGCGCGAUUGAAUUAGCCGAUGUCGGAUUAGCUAGUUGGCGGGGUAAAGGCCCACCAAGGCGACGAUCCGUAGCUGGUCUGAGAGGAUGAUCAGCCACACUGGAACUGAGACACGGUCCAGACUCCUACGGGAGGCAGCAGUGGGGAAUAUUGGACAAUGGGCGCAAGCCUGAUCCAGCCAUACCGCGUGAGUGAAGAAGGCCUUCGGGUUGUAAAGCCCUUUUGUUGGGAAAGAAAAGCAGCAGGUUAAUACCCCGCUGUUCUGACGGUACCCAAAGAAUAAGCAUCGGCUAACUUCGUG